This 333-nucleotide unclassified non-coding RNA is filed under the name soil metagenome. Its description in RNAcentral is "partial contains 5.8S ribosomal RNA, internal transcribed spacer 2, and large subunit ribosomal RNA". The stretch from base 1 to 121 matches the Rfam family "5.8S ribosomal RNA", at positions 35 to 154 of the family's 154-position model. The record is from RNAcentral.
GAUGAAGAACGUAGUGAAAUGCGAUAAGUAAUGCGAAUUGCAGAAUUUCCGUGAGUCAUCGAAUCUUUGAACGCACAUUGCGCCCCUUGGUAUUCCGGGGGGCAUGCCUGUUCGAGCGUCAUUUCAACCCUCAAGCUCUGCUUGGUAUUGGGCCCGGUGGGCGAUUGCCUACCAGCCUUAAAGAGAGUGGCGGUGCCCCGCGGCCCUGAGCGUAGUAACUACUCCCGCUAUAGGUGUCCACGGGCUCACCAGCCAGCAACCCCAACUUUCUAUGGUUGACCUCGGAUCAGGUAGGGAUACCCGCUGAACUUAAGCAUAUCAAUAAGCGGAGGA